RNAcentral lists this transfer RNA (72 nucleotides) under Candidatus Woesearchaeota archaeon CG10_big_fil_rev_8_21_14_0_10_34_12. RNAcentral describes it as "tRNA-Met". It matches the Rfam family "tRNA". From Rfam's summary of the family: Transfer RNA (tRNA) molecules are approximately 80 nucleotides in length. Their secondary structure includes four short double-helical elements and three loops (D, anti-codon, and T loops). Lineage: Archaea; Nanobdellati; Candidatus Woesearchaeota. The record is from RNAcentral.
GGCUGUAUAGUUCAGCGGAAGAACGCCUGUCUCAUAAGCAGGAAGUCCCAAGUUCAACUCUUGGUACAGCCA